The sequence is a ribosomal RNA, 652 nucleotides long. The stretch from base 251 to 404 matches the Rfam family "5.8S ribosomal RNA".
CUUCCGUAAGGUGACCUGCGGAAGGAUCAUUUAAUGAAUUUGAAGUGAGGCUUGAUGCUGGCGGCCUAACGGCUGCAUGUGCUCGGUCUCCGCAAAUCCACUUUACACCUGUGCACUUUCAAGCUCUGUAGUCCUCCGUAAUGGGAGCCGUGGUCAUUGACUGUUGGGACUACACCUUUGCCCAUAUAUUACAAACUCUGUAUAAUGUCUUGUAGAAUGUCUAUUGGCCUUCAUUGGCUUAACAUAAUACAACUUUCAACAACGGAUCUCUUGGCUCUCGCAUCGAUGAAGAACGCAGCGAAAUGCGAUAAGUAAUGUGAAUUGCAGAAUUCAGUGAAUCAUCGAAUCUUUGAACGCACCUUGCGCUCCUUGGUAUUCCGAGGAGCAUGCCUGUUUGAGUGUCAUUUAAUCAUCAAUCUGCAACUUCUUCAUGUUGUUUGCUGGAUUGGACUUGGGGAUUUGCUGGUUCUGAAUCGGCUUCCCUCAAAUGCAUUAGCUGGAGCGAUGCAAGCAGCAUAUAUGCGGUGUGAUAAUAUCUUCACUGCGUUGCUCUUGUUGAAUCUGGCUUCUAACCGUCCUUCAGUUGGACAAUGCUUUGACAAUCUGACCUCAAAUCAGGUAGGACUACCCGCUGAACUUAAGCAUAUCAAUA